GGGGAAUCUUGCGCAAUGGGCGAAAGCCUGACGCAGCCAUGCCGCGUGAAUGAUGAAGGUCUUAGGAUUGUAAAAUUCUUUCACCGGGGACGAUAAUGACGGUACCCGGAGAAGAAGCCCCGGCUAACUUCGUGGCAGCAGCCGCGGUAAUACGAAGGGGGCUAGCGUUGCUCGGAAUUACUGGGCGUAAAGGGAGCGUAGGCGGACAUUUAAGUCAGGGGUGAAAUCCCGGGGCUCAACCUCGGAAUUGCCUUUGAUACUGGGUGUCUUGAGUAUGAGAGAGGUAUGUGGAACUCCGAGUGUAGAGGUGAAAUUCGUAGAUAUUCGGAAGAACACCAGUGGCGAAGGCGACAUACUGGCUCAUUACUGACGCUGAGGCUCGAAAGCGUGGGGAGCAAAC
Molecule: ribosomal RNA, 400 nt
Filed under: uncultured bacterium
Lineage: Bacteria
Description: bacterial SSU rRNA
Rfam family: Bacterial small subunit ribosomal RNA
Source: RNAcentral